GUGAGAACGCAGUGAAAUGCGAUAAGUAAUGUGAAUUGCAGAAUUCAGUGAAUCAUCGAAUCUUUGAACGCACAUUGCGCCCCCUGGUAUUCCGGGGGGCAUGCCUGUUCGAGCGUCAUUUCACCACUCAAGCCUCGCUUGGUAUUGGGCAACGCGGUCCGCCGCGUGCCUCAAAUCGACCGGCUGGGUCUUCUGUCCCCUAAGCGUUGUGGAAACUAUUCGCUAAAGGGUGCUCGGGAGGCUACGCCGUAAAACAAACCCAUUUCUAAGGUUGACCUCGGAUCAGGUAGGGAUACCCGCUGAACUUAAGCAUAUCAAUAAGCGGAGGA
This 329-nucleotide unclassified non-coding RNA is filed under the name soil metagenome. RNAcentral describes it as "partial contains 5.8S ribosomal RNA, internal transcribed spacer 2, and large subunit ribosomal RNA". The stretch from base 4 to 118 matches the Rfam family "5.8S ribosomal RNA", at positions 40 to 154 of the family's 154-position model. The record is from RNAcentral.